GGAUGUGAGGGCGAUCUGGCUGCGACAUCUGUCACCCCAUUGAUCGCCAGGGUUGAUUCGGCUGAUCUGGCUGGCUAGGCGGGUGUCCCCUUCCUCCCUCACCGCUCCAUGUGCGUCCCUCCCGAAGCUGCGCGCUCGGUCGAAGAGGACAACCAUCCCCGAUAGAGGAGGACCGUUCUUCGGUCAAGGGUAUACGAGUAGCUGCGCUCCCCUGCUAGAACCUCCAAACAAGCUCUCAAGAGUCUACUGUGUCCAAGUUUUAAAAGCAGCAAGAAAUAAUUUACUAGACUGUCUCAACUCCUAAGUGUGCCAAUUUUGCAAUCUGCAUUUUU
RNAcentral lists this small nuclear RNA (332 nucleotides) under Castor canadensis (American beaver). Its description in RNAcentral is "7SK RNA (ENSCCNG00000012614.1)". It matches the Rfam family "7SK RNA". From Rfam's summary of the family: 7SK was discovered as an abundant small nuclear RNA in the mid-70s but a possible function has only recently been suggested. Two independent studies have found that 7SK RNA binds the CDK9/cyclin T complex (known as elongation factor P-TEFb). The record is from Rfam by way of RNAcentral. Lineage: Eukaryota; Metazoa; Chordata; Mammalia; Rodentia; Castoridae.